GCUGYUUYGCUGACGAGUGGCGGACGGGUGAGUAAUGUCUGGGAAACUGCCUGAUGGAGGGGGAUAACUACUGGAAACGGUAGCUAAUACCGCAUAACGUCGCAAGACCAAAGAGGGGGACCUUCGGGCCUCUUGCCAUCGGAUGUGCCCAGAUGGGAUUAGCUWGUWGGUGGGGUAACGGCUCACCWAGGCGACGAUCCCUAGCUGGUCUGAGAGGAUGACCAGCCACACUGGAACUGAGACACGGUCCAGACUCCUACGGGAGGCAGCAGUGGGGAAUAUUGCACAAUGGGCGCAAGCCUGAUGCAGCCAUGCCGCGUGUAAUGAAGAAGGCCUUCGGG
RNAcentral lists this ribosomal RNA (341 nucleotides) under Enterobacter sp. RNAcentral's name for it is "bacterial SSU rRNA". The record is from RNAcentral. Lineage: Bacteria; Pseudomonadati; Pseudomonadota; Gammaproteobacteria; Enterobacterales; Enterobacteriaceae.